UACGAGAGGUCCCAAGCGUUGUUCGGAUUCAUUGGGCGUAAAGGGUGCGUAGGUGGCGCCGUAAGUGGGGUGUGAAAUUUCGGAGCUUAACUCCGAAACUGCAUUCCAUACUGCGGUGCUUGAGGACUGGAGAGGAGACUGGAAUUUACGGUGUAGCAGUGAAAUGCGUAGAGAUCGUAAGGAAGACCAGUGGCGAAGGCGGGUCUCUGGACAGUUCCUGACACUGAGGCACGAAGGCCAGGGGAGCAAACGGG
Molecule: ribosomal RNA, 254 nt
Filed under: uncultured bacterium
Lineage: Bacteria
Description: partial 16S ribosomal RNA
Rfam family: Bacterial small subunit ribosomal RNA
Source: RNAcentral